Molecule: unclassified non-coding RNA, 1176 nt
Filed under: Melitaea cinxia (Glanville fritillary)
Lineage: Eukaryota; Metazoa; Arthropoda; Insecta; Lepidoptera; Nymphalidae
Description: misc RNA ENSMCXG00005018681.1
Source: RNAcentral
UGAAAUUCGAUCUAAUCCUAGUGCUAGUACUAAAAUAUGUUGUCUAUAAAAUAUACAUUUUUCUUUUAAAUAAAUAUUCUAUACUUUAUUUUUAAUGUCACCUCAACCACGAGACUUAGAGGAUUGGGAACCCAUUACAAAUAGUUUGAUGCACGUAUCAUCAUCAGGAUGCAUCAGCGUUGGGGCGGAGAUCCAGAAGCAGGUCACAUUGUCCAAAGAACUAUCAGAACCUUCAACGACCAAAAACAAUGGAAUUCGUAACUCUUUGCGACAGUUACAUGAAUUUGAGCUUAUUGUACAUCGGAGGCGGAGGGAUCAAACCUCAGUUGGUAUACGCUAGGGAAGAAAAACACCUGUCAUCACAAAAACCGAACGGUCUUCGGGAAGAAAAUACACAACGAAUAUUACCAGCCGCCGAGAUUUACUUAGGAUCAUACAAUUAAACCACUAGAAUUGAUUUUAUACGUUUACCAUACCAAUAUAUUGCACGUCUCCAAUGAGGGAUGAAAUUUUAUUCUGACAAAAUGAGAAAAACGGGAAGCACUUACUUGUAAACAAACCUCUUUGUUUUUAUAAUAAUACACUUCCUAUCCGUCACUACUGUAUCGUGUCCUGUGCCCAAAGGUUAUCUUAGAAGAAAUCGCUCUUCAGCGAUAAGAUCGCCUUUGUACUUUUUUUUAGUUACUACUGUUUGUAUUUGGUAUAUUUUGGUGUACAAUAAAGAAUAUAUUAUUAUUAUUAUUAUUAUUAAUGGUAUUACAUUUUUUUUUUUCGAUAUAUGUUAUAUAUGCGUAUAAAGACUUACAAUUUCUUACUAAGUAAAUAUGUAAGAGUUCUGUGAUAAUAUAAUGCAGAAAAAAAUAACAUAUUGUUAUUAAUGUCUGUUUGUUUCAAGAUCUUGUACUUAUAAUAAUUUAUUCUUAAAAAGGUCAAAAAAAAAUUAUAUGCAAUAUGUACUGUCGAUUAUGAAAACUGUUAAGAUGGACCUCAUUCGUACCUGUAAUACGAUUAUUUGAAAUUUAUAAUAUGUAUGUUACUUACCAGAACAAGAGUAAUAGCAUUGAGACAGCUUUUGCAAUAACUUACCUGAAAAAGAAAAAAAAAUAUUAACAUUUAGUUGAUAUAAAUUUAACAAUCAUUACAAUCAGACAAAUCAAAAAUAUUAUUCCCUUAUUA